CUGGGCUGGAGUCGUGCAAUGUCCUCAGGCUCACAGCUUUUAUCUUCGCUGCCCCCAGCUGUUGACAGGCACUGCCCAGAGAUGCCCUGAUCCCCCAGGUACUGGGACUCCAUCUGCGCGCCUUUGCCAGACUAUUUACAGCCGAGUGGAAUGGCUGCGAGGGGCAUCGGCCAGAGACCGGCGGGAGAGCUCAGGGGACAGACGCGAGACUCGCGCUGGACAAAGGCAAGGGAAGCCAGGGCAUCCACUCAGCACUGGGCAGGGCACAGGUACAGGGAUGUCACCACUCUGGGGAAGGGACAAAGGAAACCAGAAAUCUCGCCGCAGUAGAAGCAUGGAAGGGUUCCCAUGUUCCCACUUUGAGUUGCCAUCUGUCCUGUGAUCCCUCCUUUCCAGUUACACCAAUCUCUUGGAAAAGUGGCUUUUACAUCACGGGGCCUGUCGGGUGCAUCUCUCCCGUCCCAGGGACAUUACAGAACAGGGUGGCUCCUAGAGACUGCUCUUGCCCCCUCCGCUGCCCCCGUGUGGGGCAGCGAUCCCUGAGCAUUUGCUCUUACAGAAUGCUGGGCUGGGCUUGUACAGCAUCUAUAUAUAUGAAAAUACAUUUCUUCUAACAUGGU
Molecule: long non-coding RNA, 620 nt
Organism: Mastomys coucha (southern multimammate mouse)
Lineage: Eukaryota; Metazoa; Chordata; Mammalia; Rodentia; Muridae
Exons: 3
Source: RefSeq, a predicted model, not a curated record